GAUGAACGCUGGCGGCGUGCCUAAUACAUGCAAGUCGAGCGAACGGACGAGAAGCUUGCUUCUCUGAUGUUAGCGGCGGACGGGUGAGUAACACGUGGAUAACCUACCUAUAAGACUGGGAUAACUUCGGGAAACCGGAGCUAAUACCGGAUAAUAUUUUGAACCGCAUGGUUCAAAAGUGAAAGACAGUCUUGCUGUCACUUAUAGAUGGAUCCGCGCUGCAUUAGCUAGUUGGUAAGGUAACGGCUUACCAAGGCAACGAUGCAUAGCCGACCUGAGAGGGUGAUCGGCCACACUGGAACUGAGACCCGGUCCAGACUCCUACGGGAGGCAGCAGUAGGGAAUCUUCCGCAAUGGGCGAAAGCCUGACGGAGCAACGCCGCGGGAGUGAUGAAGGUCUUCGGAUCGUAAAACUCUGUUAUUAGGGAAGAACAUAUGUGUAAGUAACUGUGAAGAUUUUGACGGUACCUAAUCAGAAAGCCACGGCUAACUACGU
RNAcentral lists this ribosomal RNA (496 nucleotides) under uncultured bacterium. RNAcentral describes it as "partial 16S ribosomal RNA". It matches the Rfam family "Bacterial small subunit ribosomal RNA", at positions 28 to 506 of the family's 1533-position model. The record is from RNAcentral.